AUCAUAUAUCCAUGGCGUGUGCAGACUUGGGAGAGAGCAGACCCGAGGGAGGGCUGCGACACUGCAGCUGCAGGUGAGAUUGGGCGAGUCGGAUCACUCGUCGCGCAUGCAUGAAACUUCACCAUGGCCGCUCCACCGCACAUGGACGGCUGCGGCGGCGGCAACGACGACGUAAUGUAUCCAAAGACACACACCCUGCAUGUACAAAACAGAUCGGAUGGCAUUGAUUCAUUGAAGUGCACCUAAAUACAAUCGGAUGGCAUCCCCAAUGUUUACCAGAAUUUGGAACUAAAUUCACACUAACCGUGAACAGAAGAAAAAUCCCCAAAUCUGAAUUUUGGACCUAUUUACAUGUGGCACAUAUGGGAAUAGAAGGCAUCCUCAUGUUCGAUUGAACCUAUAAACAUUAGAAGAGAAAGAGUUGCCAACCUGUACAAGGAGAUACAACCCUGUCGUCCCACAUACUAGAUCUGUGGUGGACUGGUGGUUCCUGGCAUAACCUGAAAGAAGGAAUAAGAAGCAGAUCAACCGGAGUUAAUGAAGCUGUAUGAGAAUUGUUGCCGUGAGGAAUUUAUGUAUGGAGUAUAUGGUAGUGAGGCAAAUCGAUCAGGUACCUCGCAUGUGAUUGGUGGACUUCAAAAGCAGCUACUUGCGGUUAGAGACUUGGAGCAGGAUUCAAUAUCAACGGAAAAAGAACAAGGCUCCACUAAAGUGAGUGCACCGUGCCGAAAAACAACCUGGUCACUGGUCAGUCACGUCAGCGCCAUUGGCCGGUGAGAAGAUGGGCGUCCCGGCCGAGCUACUCUUGGCCGCCGCCGCAUAUUCAUGUGAGCCGCCGCCGCAGCUGGACGCCAAUGAAACAGGAGGAGAGAUGGAUAAGCGG
This 883-nucleotide long non-coding RNA is filed under the name Triticum aestivum (bread wheat). RNAcentral's name for it is "long non-coding RNA (TAES_LNC022996)". The record is from RNAcentral. Lineage: Eukaryota; Viridiplantae; Streptophyta; Magnoliopsida; Poales; Poaceae.